CUUACCAUGCAGUCGAGCGGAAGGCUCCUUCGGGGGUACUCGAGCGGCGAACGGGUGAGUAACACGUGAGUAAUCUGCCUCAGGCUUUGGGAUAGCCACCGGAAACGGUGAUUAAUACCGGAUAUGACCGUGCUCCGCAUGGGGUGUGGUGGAAAGUUUUUCGGCCUGGGAUGUGCUCGCGGCCUAUCAGCUUGAUGGUGGGGUAAUGGCCUACCAUGGCUUCGACGGGUAGCCGGCCUGAGAGGGUGACCGGUCACACUGGGACUGAGACACGGCCCAGACUCCUACGGGAGGCAGCAGUGGGGAAUAUUGGACAAUGGGCGGAAGCCUGAUCCAGCAACGCCGCGUGAGGGAUGACGGCCUUCGGGUUGUAAACCUCUUUCAGCACCGACGAAGCGGAAGUGACGGUAGGUGCAGAAGAAGGACCGGCCAACUACGUGCCAGCAGCCGCGGUAAUACGUAGGGUCCGAGCGUUGUCCGGAAUUAUUGGGCGUAAAGGGCUCGUAGGCGGUUUGUCGCGUCGGGAGUGAAAACACCGGGCUUAACUCGGUGCUUGCUUUCGAUACGGGCAGACUGGAGGUAUGCAGGGGAGAACGGAAUUCCUGGUGUAGCGGUGAAAUGCGCAGAUAUCAGGAGGAACACCGGUGGCGAAGGCGGUUCUCUGGGCAUGUCCUGACGCUGAGGAGCGAAAGUGUGGGGAGCGAACAGGAUUAGAUACCCUGGUAGUCCACACCGUAAACGUUGGGCGCUAGGUGUGGGGUCCACUCCAUGGGUUCCGUGCCGUAGCUAACGCAUUAAGC
RNAcentral lists this ribosomal RNA (800 nucleotides) under uncultured Nocardioides sp. RNAcentral describes it as "bacterial SSU rRNA". It matches the Rfam family "Bacterial small subunit ribosomal RNA", at positions 48 to 865 of the family's 1533-position model. Lineage: Bacteria; Bacillati; Actinomycetota; Actinomycetes; Propionibacteriales; Nocardioidaceae. The record is from RNAcentral.